RNAcentral lists this ribosomal RNA (678 nucleotides) under uncultured Actinomycetes bacterium. RNAcentral's name for it is "SSU rRNA". It matches the Rfam family "Bacterial small subunit ribosomal RNA", at positions 245 to 915 of the family's 1533-position model. Lineage: Bacteria; Bacillati; Actinomycetota; Actinomycetes. The record is from RNAcentral.
CUUGUUGGUGAGGUAACGGCUCACCAAGGCGACGAUCCGUAGCUGGUCUGAGAGGACGAUCAGCCACACUGGGACUGAGACACGGCCCAGACUCCUACGGGAGGCAGCAGUGGGGAAUCUUGCGCAAUGGGCGAAAGCCUGACGCAGCGACGCCGCGUGAGGGAAGAAGGCCUUCGGGUUGUAAACCUCUUUCAGGAGGGACGAAGCUACUCGGGUUAAUAGCCCAGAGGGUGACGGUACCUCCAGAAGAAGCCCCGGCUAACUACGUGCCAGCAGCCGCGGUAAUACGUAGGGGGCAAGCGUUGUCCGGAAUCAUUGGGCGUAAAGAGCGUGUAGGCGGCCAGAAAAGUCCGCUGUGAAAACUCGAGGCUCAACUUCGAGCUGUCGGUGGAAACUUUCUGGCUAGAGUCCGGAAGAGGAGAAUGGAAUUCCUGGUGUAGCGGUGAAAUGCGCAGAUAUCAGGAAGAACACCCGUGGCGAAGGCGGUUCUCUGGGACGGUACUGACGCUGAGACGCGAAAGCGUGGGGAGCGAACAGGAUUAGAUACCCUGGUAGUCCACGCCGUAAACGAUGGGAACUAGGUGUGGGGGGUGUCGACUCCCUCCGUGCCGAAGCUAACGCAUUAAGUUCCCCGCCUGGGGAGUACGGCCGCAAGGCUAAAACUCAAAGGAAUUGACG